UUCCGGUUAAAUAUUCAUAGGAUAUGGAUGGGCUCGCGUGACAUUAGCUAGUUGGUGGGGUAACGGCCCACCAAGGCGACGAUGUCUAGGGGCUCUGAGAGGAGAAUCCCCCCACACUGGUACUGAGACACGGACCAGACUCCUACGGGAGGCAGCAGUAAGGAAUAUUGGUCAAUGGGGGCAACCCUGAACCAGCCAUGCCGCGUGCAGGACGACUGCCCUAUGGGUUGUAAACUGCUUUUGUUAGGGAAUAAACCCCACUACGUGUAGUGGGCUGAAUGUACCUAAAGAAUAAGGAUCGGCUAACUCCGUGCCAGCAGCCGCGGUAAUACGGAGGAUCCGAGCGUUAUCCGGAUUUAUUGGGUUUAAAGGGUGCGUAGGCGGCACUUUAAGUCAGGGGUGAAAGACGGCAGCUCAACUGUCGCAGUGCCCUUGAUACUGAAGUGCUUGAAUGCGGUUGAAGACGGCGGAAUGAGACAAGUAGCGGUGAAAUGCAUAGAUAUGUCUCAGAACACCGAUUGCGAAGGCAGCUGUCUAAGCCGUUAUUGACGCUGAUGCACGAAAGCGUGGGGAUCGAACAGGAUUAGAUACCCUGGUAGUCCACGCCCUAAACGAUGAUGACUCGAUGUUUGCGAUAUACCGUAAGCGUCCAAGCGAAAGCGUUAAGUCAUCCACCUGGGGAGUACGCCCGCAAGGGUGAAACUCAAAGGAAUUGACGGGGGCCCGCACAAGCGGAGGAGCAUGUGGUUUAAUUCGAUGAUACGCGAGGAACCUUACCCGGGCUUGAAAGUUACUGAAGGGCGCAGAGACGCGCCCGUCCCUCGGGACAGGAAACUAGGUGCUGCAUGGCUGUCGUCAGCUCGUGCCGUGAGGUGUUGGGUUAAGUCCCGCAACGAGCGCAACCCCUAUGUUUAGUUGCCAGCACGUCAAGGUGGGGACUCUAAACAGACUGCCUGCGCAAGCAGAGAGGAAGGCGGGGACGACGUCAAGUCAUCAUGGCCCUUACGUCCGGGGCUACACACGUGCUACAAUGGAUGGUACAGCGGGCAGCUACACAGCAAUGUGAUGCCAAUCUCGAAAAGCCAUUCACAGUUCGGAUCGGGGUCUGCAACUCGACCCCGUGAAGUGGAUUCGCUAGUAAUCG
RNAcentral lists this ribosomal RNA (1144 nucleotides) under Sphingobacterium sp. Bac_WS2_14. RNAcentral's name for it is "bacterial SSU rRNA". It matches the Rfam family "Bacterial small subunit ribosomal RNA", at positions 195 to 1344 of the family's 1533-position model. The record is from RNAcentral. Lineage: Bacteria; Pseudomonadati; Bacteroidota; Sphingobacteriia; Sphingobacteriales; Sphingobacteriaceae.